UGUUGUUCUAUGGGCCAUUAGGGAAAUGCCCUAUUUGCCAUGAAAAUAGUUUGGAGUUCACCGGAUAUUAUUGUGAUUUCGACCCUCCUUAUGUGGAAGAUCAAGGGUUCAUCGCUCGUUUUUGGUCAAAUUUCUUUCAACUACAUAUAUACAAUCCAAGGUUUGCUCGAAGACUGGGAAUAACACCAAAUAUAUAUCAAGACGAGGUGGAGAUUAAUAGCAGGAGGAUGAACAAGAGAACUUUCUGGAUCUAUGUAUACGUAGUGGUUUUUGUGCUAAUCUGUUUUUGUUUCUUUAUGGUCAAACUUUGGUCCAAUCUGUCCACAC
Molecule: long non-coding RNA, 327 nt
Organism: Prunus avium (sweet cherry)
Lineage: Eukaryota; Viridiplantae; Streptophyta; Magnoliopsida; Rosales; Rosaceae
Source: RefSeq, a predicted model, not a curated record